AGCUUUUUGAAUCCGUGCUGAGAUUUCGUCAAACCAACUCACUAGGGCUGAUCAGAAUUCCAAGAUAAGUGAAGUU
Molecule: microRNA precursor, 76 nt
Filed under: Schistosoma mansoni
Lineage: Eukaryota; Metazoa; Platyhelminthes; Trematoda; Strigeidida; Schistosomatidae
Description: mir-3492 microRNA precursor family
Rfam family: mir-3492 microRNA precursor family
Source: Rfam by way of RNAcentral